Molecule: transfer RNA, 72 nt
Filed under: Odocoileus virginianus texanus
Lineage: Eukaryota; Metazoa; Chordata; Mammalia; Artiodactyla; Cervidae
Also listed under: 4 other names
Rfam family: tRNA
About the family: Transfer RNA (tRNA) molecules are approximately 80 nucleotides in length.
Source: Rfam by way of RNAcentral
UCCCUGGUGGCUCAGAUGGUAAAGCGUCUGCCUACAAUGCAGGAGACCCGGGUUUGAUCCCUGGGUUGGGAA